GGCUUUUUGAUAAUAAUUUAAGGUCUGGCCUGCCCACUGAGUAUUUAAAUGGCCGUGGUAUUUUGACCGUGCUAAGGUAGCAUAAUCAUUAGUUUUUUAAUUAAAAACUGGAAUGAAAGGUUGGAUAAGAAAAUAACUGUCUCUUUUUAAUUUUAUUAGAAUUUUAUUUUUAAGUUAAAAAGCUUAAGUAUUAUUAAAAGACGAGAAGACCCUAUAGAGUUUUAUUAUUUGAUAAUUUUUUAUGUUUUGGAAUUAAUAUGUUAAUUUUAUUUAAUAAUUUGAUUGGGGUGAUUGAAAAAUUUAAUUAACUUUUUUUAUAUUUAUACAUUAUUUUAUGUUUUUUUGAUCCAAUAUUUUUGAUUAUAAGAUUAAAUUACCUUAGGGAUAACAGCGUAAUUUUUUUAGAAAGUUCAUAUUGAAAAAAAUGAUUGCGACCUCGAUGUUGGAUUAAAAUUAAUUU
Molecule: ribosomal RNA, 460 nt
Filed under: Paropsis atomaria (dotted paropsine leaf beetle)
Lineage: Eukaryota; Metazoa; Arthropoda; Insecta; Coleoptera; Chrysomelidae
Description: partial 16S ribosomal RNA
Source: RNAcentral